GCCAUGAUCUAGAUUUGUGCCUGAACGUGCCUGAUCCUGUCUGAUCUCAGAAGCUAAGCAGGAUUGGGCCUGGUUGGUACUUGGAUGGGAGGCUAUCUAGGAAGACCAGGUGCUGUAGGCG
Molecule: ribosomal RNA, 121 nt
Filed under: Pteropus alecto (black flying fox)
Lineage: Eukaryota; Metazoa; Chordata; Mammalia; Chiroptera; Pteropodidae
Source: RNAcentral